RNAcentral lists this microRNA precursor (104 nucleotides) under Manduca sexta (tobacco hornworm). Its description in RNAcentral is "microRNA mse-mir-79 precursor". Its record names the gene mse-mir-79. The record is from miRBase by way of RNAcentral. Lineage: Eukaryota; Metazoa; Arthropoda; Insecta; Lepidoptera; Sphingidae.
CGCAGACGAGCGCGAUGCGACGCUUUGGCGAUUUAGCUCCGUGACGUGAAGCAUACUCAUAAAGCUAGAUUACCAAAGCACCGCGUCCCGCCACUCAUCGGUGG